This 468-nucleotide ribosomal RNA is filed under the name uncultured bacterium. RNAcentral's name for it is "partial 16S ribosomal RNA". It matches the Rfam family "Bacterial small subunit ribosomal RNA", at positions 28 to 507 of the family's 1533-position model. The record is from RNAcentral.
GACGAACGCUGGCGGCGUGCUUAACACAUGCAAGUCGAACGGAAAGGCCCUGCUUUUGUGGGGUGCUCGAGUGGCGAACGGGUGAGUAACACGUGAGUAACCUGCCCUUUACUUUGGGAUAACUUCAGGAAACUGGGGCUAAUACCGGAUAGGAGCUCCUGCUGCAUGGUGGGGGUUGGAAAGUUUCGGCGGUUGGGGAUGGACUCGCGGCUUAUCAGCUUGUUGGUGGGGUAGUGGCUUACCAAGGCUUUGACGGGUAGCCGGCCUGAGAGGGUGACCGGCCACAUUGGGACUGGGUUACGGCCCAGACUCCUACGGGAGGCAGCAGUGGGGAAUAUUGCACCAUGGGCGGAAGCCUGAUGCAGCAACGCCGCGUGCGGGAUGACGGCCUUCGGGUUGUAAACCGCUUUCGCCUGUGACGAAGCGUGAGUGACGGUAAUGGGUAAAGAAGCACCGGCUAACUACGUG